AAGCAACUUAGGAUUUUAGGCUUCGCCCCUGCGGCGUCACCGUGCAAACGGCAAAAUCCGGAAAAGAGAA
RNAcentral lists this non-coding RNA (70 nucleotides) under unclassified sequences. The record is from RNAcentral.